Molecule: ribosomal RNA, 460 nt
Filed under: uncultured bacterium
Lineage: Bacteria
Description: partial 16S ribosomal RNA
Rfam family: Bacterial small subunit ribosomal RNA
Source: RNAcentral
CCUACGGGGGGCUGCAGUGAGGAAUAUUGGUCAAUGGGCUUACGCCUGAACCAGCCAAGUCGCGUGAGGGAAGACUGCCCUAUGGGUUGUAAACCUCUUUUGUCAGGGAGCAAUUGGCGCUACGUGUAGCGUUAUCGAGAGUACCUGAAGAAAAAGCAUCGGCUAACUCCGUGCCAGCAGCCGCGGUAAUACGGAGGAUGCGAGCGUUAUCCGGAUUUAUUGGGUUUAAAGGGUGCGUAGGCGGACUGGAAAGUCAGCGGUAAAAUCGAGAGGCUCAACCUCUUUCCGCCGUUGAAACUGUCGGUCUUGAGUGGGCGAGAAGUAUGCGGAAUGCGUGGUGUAGCGGUGAAAUGCAUAGAUAUCACGCAGAACUCCGAUUGCGAAGGCAGCAUACCGGCGCCCGACUGACGCUGAGGCACGAAAGCGUGGGUAUCGAACAGGAUUAGAUACCCUGGUAGUC